AGUGAACGCUGGCGGUAGGCCUAACACAUGCAAGUCGAACGGCAGCACAGUAAGAGCUUGCUCUUACGGGUGGCGAGUGGCGGACGGGUGAGGAAUACAUCGGAAUCUACUUUUUCGUGGGGGAUAACGUAGGGAAACUUACGCUAAUACCGCAUACGACCUACGGGUGAAAGCAGGGGAUCUUCGGACCUUGCGCGAUUGAAUGAGCCGAUGUCGGAUUAGCUAGGUGGCGGGGUAAAGGCCCACCAAGGCGGCGAUCCGUAGCUGGUCUGAGAGGAUGAUCAGCCACACUGGAACUGAGACACGUUCCAGACUCCUACGGGAGGCAGCAGUGGGGAAUAUUGGACAAUGGGCGCAAGCCUGAUCCAGCCAUACCGCGUGGGUGAAGAAGGCCUUCUGGUUGGAAAGCCCUUUUGUUGGGAAAGAAAAGCAGCAGGUUAAUACCCCGCUGUUCUGACGGUACCCAAAGAAUAAGCACCGGCUAACUUCGUG
RNAcentral lists this ribosomal RNA (492 nucleotides) under uncultured bacterium. RNAcentral describes it as "partial 16S ribosomal RNA". It matches the Rfam family "Bacterial small subunit ribosomal RNA", at positions 29 to 507 of the family's 1533-position model. The record is from RNAcentral.